GCCUCCAUGGCCUAGUGGAUCAGCCCCAUCAGAGCGAGCUUUGUCUCGAGUUGAUGUGGUCGAGGGUUCGACUCCCUCUGGAAGCA
Non-coding RNA from Mycena epipterygia, 86 nucleotides. NCBI's taxonomy places the organism in Eukaryota, Fungi, Basidiomycota, Agaricomycetes, Agaricales, Mycenaceae. The record is from the annotation of a GenBank genome assembly.